Molecule: ribosomal RNA, 685 nt
Filed under: uncultured Nitrososphaerota archaeon
Lineage: Archaea; Thermoproteati; Nitrososphaerota
Description: bacterial SSU rRNA
Rfam family: Archaeal small subunit ribosomal RNA
Source: RNAcentral
UGGAAUGGGUAAUGACUUAAAUCUAUAUGGCCCCUGGAUUGGACUGCGGCCGAUCAGGCUGUUGGUGAGGUAAUGGCCCACCAAACCUGUAACCGGUACGGGCUCUGAGAGGAGGAGCCCGGAGAUGGGCACUGAGACAAGGGCCCAGGCCCUAUGGGGCGCAGCAGGCGCGAAACCUCUGCAAUAGGCGAAAGCUUGACAGGGUUACUCUGAGUGAUUUCCGUUAAGGAGAUCUUUUGGCACCUCUAAAAAUGGUGCAGAAUAAGGGGUGGGCAAGUCUGGCGUCAGCCGCCGCGGUAAUACCAGCACCCCGAGUGGUCGGGACGUUUAUUGGGCCUAAAGCAUCCGUAGCCGGUUCUACAAGUCUUCCGUUAAAUCCACCUGCUUAACAGAUGGGCUGCGGAAGAUACUAUAGAGCUAGGAGGCGGGAGAGGCAAGCGGUACUCGAUGGGUAGGGGUAAAAUCCGUUGAUCCAUUGAAGACCACCAGUGGCGAAGGCGGCUUGCCAGAACGCGCUCGACGGUGAGGGAUGAAAGCUGGGGGAGCAAACCGGAUUAGAUACCCGGGUAGUCCCAGCUGUAAACGAUGCAGACUCGGUGAUGAGUUGGCUUAUUGCUAACUCAGUGCCGCAGGGAAGCCGUUAAGUUUGCCGCCUGGGGAGUACGGUCGCAAGACUGAAACUUAA